Small nucleolar RNA from Lactuca sativa (garden lettuce), 103 nucleotides. The record is from RefSeq and is a predicted model, not a curated record. NCBI's taxonomy places the organism in Eukaryota, Viridiplantae, Streptophyta, Magnoliopsida, Asterales, Asteraceae.
AGGUCAUGAUGUGGGCAAUUAGCAGGCUCUUGUACCUCUCCCAAGCUUCAUAUAGUGACUAUCCAGCUUGUUGUUCAAAGUUAGAUAUGGCUUUCUUUAGCUU